This 253-nucleotide ribosomal RNA is filed under the name uncultured bacterium. Its description in RNAcentral is "partial 16S ribosomal RNA". It matches the Rfam family "Bacterial small subunit ribosomal RNA", at positions 524 to 776 of the family's 1533-position model. The record is from RNAcentral.
UACGUAGGGUGCAAGCGUUGUCCGGAAUCAUUGGGCGUAAAGCGCGCGUAGGUGGCCUCAUAAGUCCGCUGUGAAAGUCAAAGGCUCAACCUUUGAAUGCCGCUGGAUACUGCUUGACUUGAGUCCGGAAGGGGCGAGUGGAAUUCCUGGUGUAGCGGUGAAAUGCGCAGAUAUCAGGAGGAACACCAAUGGCGAAGGCAGCUCGCUGGAACGGUACUGACGCUGAGGCGCGAAAGCGUGGGGAGCGAACAGG